This 485-nucleotide ribosomal RNA is filed under the name uncultured bacterium. Its description in RNAcentral is "SSU rRNA". It matches the Rfam family "Bacterial small subunit ribosomal RNA", at positions 26 to 523 of the family's 1533-position model. The record is from RNAcentral.
AGGACGAACGCUGGCGGCGUGCUUAACACAUGCAAGUCGAACGAUGAUCUGGGAGCUUGCUUCUGGGGAUUAGUGGCGAACGGGUGAGUAACACGUGAGCAAUCUGCCCUUGACUCUGGGAUAAGCGUUGGAAACGACGUCUAAUACCGGAUACGAGCUGUGGCCGCAUGGUCAACAGUUGGAAAGAAUUUUGGUCAAGGAUGAGCUCGCGGCCUAUCAGCUUGUUGGUGAGGUAAUGGCUCACCAAGGCGACGACGGGUAGCCGGCCUGAGAGGGUGACCGGCCACACUGGGACUGAGACACGGCCCAGACUCCUACGGGAGGCAGCAGUGGGAAUAUUGCACAAUGGGCGCAAGCCUGAUGCAGCAACGCCGCGUGAGGGACGACGGCCUUCGGGUUGUAACCUCUUUAGCAGGGAGAAGGGCUUCGGCUUGACGGUACCUGCAGAAAAGCACCGGCUAACUACGUGCCAGCAGCCGCGGUAA